Molecule: unclassified non-coding RNA, 323 nt
Organism: Mesocricetus auratus (golden hamster)
Lineage: Eukaryota; Metazoa; Chordata; Mammalia; Rodentia; Cricetidae
Gene: 7SK
Rfam family: 7SK RNA
About the family: 7SK was discovered as an abundant small nuclear RNA in the mid-70s but a possible function has only recently been suggested. Two independent studies have found that 7SK RNA binds the CDK9/cyclin T complex (known as elongation factor P-TEFb). P-TEFb activates transcription by phosphorylating the C-terminal domain of RNA polymerase II.
Source: Ensembl
UGAUAUGAGGGCAAUUUGGUUGCUGCAUCUAUCACCCCAUUGUUUGCAGGGAUUUAUAUGGCUAAUCUCAUUGGCAAAGGCAGUUAUCCUAUUCCUUUACAUAAUUCCUUACUUAUAUGUGCACCUCCAAAAGCUGUGCACUUGGUGGAAAAUGGAGUCUUCUCAAAUAAACAGGACUAUUCUUCAAUCAUUAGUAUUUCAAUAACUGUAAACCUUUACUAGACCCCAGAGAGUGUCCUCAUGCUUCAGUGUGGAGACACAGUAAGAACAUGUACAAAAGAAGCACAUUCUUAGCAGAAAAGGGGCCCUGCCAGUCAUCAUAU